GCGAGGGUGGCGGAACUGGCAGACGCGCAUGACUUAGGAUCAUGUACCUUACGGUAUGCGGGUUCGACUCCCGCCUCUCGCA
RNAcentral lists this transfer RNA (82 nucleotides) under Candidatus Omnitrophota bacterium. Its description in RNAcentral is "Candidatus Omnitrophica bacterium tRNA-Leu". It matches the Rfam family "tRNA". From Rfam's summary of the family: Transfer RNA (tRNA) molecules are approximately 80 nucleotides in length. Their secondary structure includes four short double-helical elements and three loops (D, anti-codon, and T loops). Further hydrogen bonds mediate the characteristic L-shaped molecular structure. tRNAs have two regions of fundamental functional importance: the anti-codon, which is responsible for specific mRNA codon recognition, and the 3' end, to which the tRNAs corresponding amino acid is attached (by aminoacyl-tRNA synthetases). tRNAs cope with the degeneracy of the genetic code in two manners: having more than one tRNA (with a specific anti-codon) for a particular amino acid; and 'wobble' base-pairing, i.e. permitting non-standard base-pairing at the 3rd anti-codon position. Lineage: Bacteria; Pseudomonadati; Candidatus Omnitrophota. The record is from RNAcentral.